RNAcentral lists this long non-coding RNA (238 nucleotides) under Gossypium barbadense (sea-island cotton). RNAcentral's name for it is "long non-coding RNA (GBAR_LNC006849)". Lineage: Eukaryota; Viridiplantae; Streptophyta; Magnoliopsida; Malvales; Malvaceae. The record is from RNAcentral.
CAUGGUAGUUGAUACCAUUUAUUAUAAUCCACUUGUAGUUUUAAGAAUUCGAGGAUUACUUCAUACAUACUCCAUACUAUGCUACGAAUUGUCGAUCCCUAAAACCAUUAGAAUCUUGUUAGCUUGGACGGCAGAAAUUUUUGGAACUACAGUUGAGCUUCAAUUCCAUGGCUGCCUUUCCAUUUCCCUACACUGACUCUCUCGCAAAACCUUCCAUUUCAAAGUCCUUAACUACCCG